This 249-nucleotide ribosomal RNA is filed under the name uncultured bacterium. RNAcentral's name for it is "partial 16S ribosomal RNA". It matches the Rfam family "Bacterial small subunit ribosomal RNA", at positions 57 to 305 of the family's 1533-position model. The record is from RNAcentral.
GCAAGUCGAGGGGUAACAUAGGAGCUUGCCCUUGAUGACGACCGGCGCACGGGUGCGUAACGCGUAUGGAAUCUACCUUAUACUAGGGGAUAGCCUUUGGAAACGAAGAUUAAUACCCUAUAGUAAUUAUUUGUGGCAUCACAGAUAAUUUAAAGGUUACGGUAUAAGAUGACCAUGCGUCCUAUUAGUUUGUUGGUAAGGUAACGGCUUACCAAGACUACGAUAGGUAGGGGCCCUGAGAGGGGGAUC